RNAcentral lists this ribosomal RNA (412 nucleotides) under uncultured bacterium. RNAcentral describes it as "bacterial SSU rRNA". It matches the Rfam family "Bacterial small subunit ribosomal RNA", at positions 505 to 916 of the family's 1533-position model. The record is from RNAcentral.
GUGUCAGCCGCCGCGGUAAUACGUAGGUCCCGAGCGUUGUCCGGAUUUAUUGGGCGUAAAGCGAGCGCAGGCGGUUUGAUAAGUCUGAAGUUAAAGGCUGUGGCUCAACCAUUGUAUGCAUUGGAAACUGGUAGACUUGAGUGCAGGAGAGGAGAGUGGAAUUCCAUGUGUAGCGGUGAAAUGCGUAGAUAUAUGGAGGAACACCGGUGGCGAAAGCGGCUCUCUGGCCUGUAACUGACACUGAGGCUCGAAAGCGUGGGGAGCGAACAGGAUUAGAUACCCUGGUAGUCCACGCCGUAAACGAUGAGUGCUAGGUGUUGGAUCCUUUCCGGGAUUCAGUGCCGCAGCUAACGCAUUAAGCACUCCGCCUGGGGAGUACGACCGCAAGGUUGAAACUUAAAGAAAUUGGCGG